GAGUUUGAUCAUGGCUCAGGAUGAACGCUAGCGGGAGGCCUAACACAUGCAAGCCGAGCGGGAUUUGUUGGUUAGCUUGCUAACUAAUAAUGAGAGCGGCGUACGGGUGCGUAACACGUGUGCAACCUGCCUUUAUCUGGGGGAUAGCCUUUCGAAAGGAAGAUUAAUACCCCAUAAUAUAUUAAUUGGCAUCAAUUGAUAUUGAAAGCUCCGGCGGAUAGAGAUGGGCACGCGUAAGAUUAGCUAGUUGGUGAGGUAACGGCUCACCAAGGCUGCGAUCUUUAGGGGGCCUGAGAGGGUGAUCCCCCACACUGGUACUGAGACACGGACCAGACUCCUACGGGAGGCAGCAGUGAGGAAUAUUGGACAAUGGGUGAGAGCCUGAUCCAGCCAUCCCGCGUGAAGGACUAAGGACCUAUGGUUUGUAAACUUCUUUUAUACAGGGAUAAACCUACUCUCGUGAGGGUAGCUGAAGGUACUGUAUGAAUAAGCACCGG
RNAcentral lists this ribosomal RNA (497 nucleotides) under Bergeyella zoohelcum. RNAcentral's name for it is "bacterial SSU rRNA". It matches the Rfam family "Bacterial small subunit ribosomal RNA", at positions 9 to 496 of the family's 1533-position model. The record is from RNAcentral. Lineage: Bacteria; Pseudomonadati; Bacteroidota; Flavobacteriia; Flavobacteriales; Weeksellaceae.